AAGUAUAUUGUUACUGUGCUUUGGGAUUAAAAUAAGUAACUACAGUUUAUAGAACUUUUAUACUGAUACACAGACACUAAAAAGGGAAAGGGUUUAGAUGAGAAGCUCUGCUGUGCAAUCAAGAAUCUCAGCCACUCAUUUCUGUAGGGGCUGCAGGAGCUCCCUGUAAAGAGAGGUUAUGGAGUCUGUAGCUUCAGGUAACCACUGAUCCACUUCCAGUCACUAUCCAUGAGUUUUUAUUUCCAAAUACAUGAAAUCAUAUGAAUUUCUGGUUUUUCCUGUUGGAGCCCAAGGAGCAAGGGCAGAAUGAGGAACAUGAU
This is a long non-coding RNA of Homo sapiens (human), 320 nucleotides long. Lineage: Eukaryota; Metazoa; Chordata; Mammalia; Primates; Hominidae. The record is from Ensembl.